This 254-nucleotide ribosomal RNA is filed under the name uncultured bacterium. RNAcentral's name for it is "partial 16S ribosomal RNA". It matches the Rfam family "Bacterial small subunit ribosomal RNA", at positions 524 to 776 of the family's 1533-position model. The record is from RNAcentral.
UACGUAGGGUCCAAGCGUUAUCCGGAAUCACUGGGCGUAAAGCGUUCGUAGGCGGUUUUUCAAGUUGGGUGUGAAAUCCUGUGGCUCAACCAUAUGGACUGUGCCCAAAACUGAAAGACUAGAGCAUAGUAGAGGCAAGUGGAACUUGCGGUGUAGGGGUGACAUCCGUAGAUAUCGCAAAGAACACCAAUGGCGAAGGCAGCUUGCUGGACCAUAACUGACGCUGAGGCACGAAAGCGUGGGUAGCAAACAGG